This 119-nucleotide ribosomal RNA is filed under the name Pteropus alecto (black flying fox). The record is from RNAcentral. Lineage: Eukaryota; Metazoa; Chordata; Mammalia; Chiroptera; Pteropodidae.
GUCUACGGCCAUGCCACCCUGAACAAACCUGAUCCUGUCUGAUCUCAGAAACUAAGCAGGGUUGGGCCUGGUUAGUACUUGGAUGGGAGACCACCUAGGGAGACCAAGUGCUGUAGGUG